UGAACUGAGGCUUCAAAAAUAUUUUAAAUUAAUUCAAGUAUACAAUGGACCAACUCCAAGGCCCAAGUCUAGCCCAACUUAACUCUAAAUUGUAAAGACUUAAUCAAUCAACAAUAAGUCAAUAACCAGUAGUCACUUGAGAGUUAAGAACGUACAAAACAUUAGACAAUUAGGACUAGAGUUUACUUCAUUUUCUUUCUUUGAAAUUUCUGAGUUCUCAUAUGCACCUGUGGCUGCACAACUCUUGAAUGCAAAAUUGAGUUUGUCCGAAAUGGAUACAGAUAAGAAGAUAAAAAAAUAUUGGUUGUGUUUCCGGACCUAAUGGUAAGAACUAUGGAACAUCACAUACUUAAAUGAUCAAAUAUCAUGAUUUGGGUCAGAUGUAUAUGGAUCAACAAGGUAACAUAUCAACAACAACAACAACAACAAACCCAGUGUAUUCCCACCUAGUGGGGUCUGGGGGGUGGGGGUAAGAUGUACGCAGUUCAUACCUCUACCUCUGAUGAAGUAGAAAGGCUGUUUCCGAUAGACCCCCGGCUCAAGACACGAGAUACCACACAAACACAUAGUAAAACACAGAAGCAGAUUACAUAACAUAAAUACGGCACCCAUAAGUAAUAUAAAACAGAGGAAAGCAACGGAAAGCACACAGAUUCGUAAUAAAACAUGGAACACGGAAGACAGAAUCAUAACAGGAAUAAAACCCCCACCAAGUAAUUCCCUACNNN
Molecule: long non-coding RNA, 728 nt
Filed under: Capsicum annuum
Lineage: Eukaryota; Viridiplantae; Streptophyta; Magnoliopsida; Solanales; Solanaceae
Description: long non-coding RNA (CANN_LNC008921)
Source: RNAcentral